This 497-nucleotide ribosomal RNA is filed under the name uncultured bacterium. RNAcentral's name for it is "partial 16S ribosomal RNA". It matches the Rfam family "Bacterial small subunit ribosomal RNA", at positions 28 to 507 of the family's 1533-position model. The record is from RNAcentral.
GACGAACGCUGGCGGCGUGCCUAAUACAUGCAAGUUGAGCGCUGAAGGUUGGUCCUUGUACCAACUGGAUGAGCAGCGAACGGGUGAGUAACGCGUGGGGAAUCUGCCUUUGAGCGGGGGACAACAUUUGGAAACGAAUGCUAAUACCGCAUAAAAACUUUAAACACAAGUUUUAAGUUUGAAAGAUGCAAUUGCAUCACUCAAAGAUGAUCCCGCGUUGUAUUAGCUAGUUGGUGAGGUAAAGGCUCACCAAGGCGAUGAUACAUAGCCGACCUGAGAGGGUGAUUGGCCACAUUGGGACUGAGACACGGCCCAAACUCCUACGGGAGGCAGCAGUAGGGAAUAUUCGGCAAUGGACGAAAGUCUGACCGAGCAACGCCGCGUGAGUGAAGAAGGUUAUCGGAUCGUAAAAAUCUGUUGGUAGAGAAGAACGUUGGUGAGAGUGGAAAGCUCAUCAAGUGACGGUAACUACCCAGAAAGGGACGGCUAACUACGUG